Long non-coding RNA from Haliotis rubra (blacklip abalone), 297 nucleotides. RefSeq lists it as uncharacterized. The transcript has 3 exons. Lineage: Eukaryota; Metazoa; Mollusca; Gastropoda; Lepetellida; Haliotidae. The record is from RefSeq and is a predicted model, not a curated record.
UGCCACUCAGAUAAGGGUUUGGAUGCAAACUGCCACACAGAUAUAAUGCCUGUUGCAAAUUGCCACUCAAAUAAAGGGCUGGCUGCAAAUUGCCGCUCAGAUAAGGGUCCAGUUGCAAACUGCCACUCAGAUAAGGGUCUGGAUGCAAACUGCCACUCAGAUAAGGGUCCGGAUGCAAACUGCCACUCAGAUAAGGGUCCGGUUGCAAACUGCCACUAAGAUAAGGGUCCACUUGCAAACUGCCACUCAGAUAAGGUGCUGGUCGCAAAAUGCCGCUCAGAUAAGGGUCCAGUUGCA